Molecule: ribosomal RNA, 253 nt
Filed under: uncultured bacterium
Lineage: Bacteria
Description: partial 16S ribosomal RNA
Rfam family: Bacterial small subunit ribosomal RNA
Source: RNAcentral
UACAGAGGGUGCGAGCGUUGUCCGGAAUCACUGGGCGUAAAGGGCGCGUAGGCGGCUUGAUAAGCGUGCGGUGAAAGCCCGGGGCUCAACCCCGGGUCGGCCGUGCGAACUGUCGAGCUGGAGCACUGUAGAGGCAGGUGGAAUUCCGGGUGUAGCGGUGGAAUGCGUAGAGAUCCGGAAGAACACCGGUGGCGAAGGCGGCCUGCUGGGCAGUGGCUGACGCUGAGGCGCGACAGCUAGGGGAGCAAACGGG